GACGAACGCUGGCGGCGUGCUUAACACAUGCAAGUCGAACGAAGUGGCGAACGGGUGAGUAAUACGUGAGUAACCUGCCCUCCUUUUUGGGAAAAGCCUUGGAAACGGGGUCUAAUACCGAAUAAAGGGGGAUGGGCUCGCGGCCUAUCAGCUUGUUGGUGGGGUGAUGGACUACCAAGGCGGUGACGGGUAGCCGGCCUGAGAGGGUGACCGGGCAACUUGGGACCGGGAUACGGCCCAGACGGCGACGGGAGGGGGCAGUGGGGGAUAUUGGACAAUGGGCGGAAGCAGGAUGCAGGGGUGCAGGGUGGGGGAUGAAGGCUUUCGGGUUGUAAUCCUCUGGGGCUAUCGAGCGGGUAGGUGGAGAAGAAGCGCCGGCUAACUACGUGCCAGCCGCCGCGGUAAUUC
Molecule: ribosomal RNA, 408 nt
Filed under: uncultured bacterium
Lineage: Bacteria
Description: partial 16S ribosomal RNA
Rfam family: Bacterial small subunit ribosomal RNA
Source: RNAcentral